This 1528-nucleotide long non-coding RNA is filed under the name Sparus aurata (gilthead seabream). RNAcentral describes it as "lncRNA (ENSSAUG00010001539.1)". Lineage: Eukaryota; Metazoa; Chordata; Actinopteri; Spariformes; Sparidae. The record is from RNAcentral.
GUUUAAACUGCAGAGAUGGUUGGCAGCUGGAAGCAACAGAAGGCAGAAAGUUCGACCUAUGCGGCAGCAGUCAGGACUUACUGACGAGUUUGAUGAGCUAGAGCUUGAUGGUGUUGCCGUGGGCCUCCUUACUGUCAUCAGUGACCAUGAUACAAGCAGUGUUGGGAAGAUUACUUUGGAAAUGUAGUUGGUUACAAUUACAAGUUACCCUGUUGAAAAUGUAAUAGUAGUGUAACUAUUUCAAUUACUUUCUCAAAGUAAUGUAACUAAUUACAUUUGAUUACAUUAUGAUUACUUUUCUUUAUUUUGAAUGAAAUCUCUCAACUGCUAACCAUUUUCACAUUUUAAGACCUAUAGUGUGAUAAACCUUUCAGUUCAAAGGUUUAACCAUAUGAGUCUGACCUUAGGCCUGUACUGCGAAGGAGGCUCACUUCCUCACUAAAUAGAGCGACAACGGGCUGAUUUCAGACAAGAGGAGCAGGUUGUUUUAAUGGAGAGAGUAUGAGCAAUACAAAAAAGCCUGAUCACAGCCUGAAGCAACAGGUUUGCUGCAAAUAUGACAAGAGGAGGCUGAUUUUAAUUUCUGACAGCUCUACAUUGAGCUGCUUUUAAAUAUGAAGCUUUAGAGGAACAACAACUGUUGUUUUAAACUGUGUUAAAUAUUGUUUUCAUAUAUUUCACUGAUCGCAAUUAUAAAAUGCCAGUGUGUGUUUUAUUGAAAGCGAGGCAUGUAAUUCGUUACUCCCGAACACUGGAUACAAGUCCAGUUCACUACCACCCUGUGAGAAUCUGUCAUCACUGAAAGGAAUUAGCCAGGUCGCCAAAAGCACUUUUAUAGCUGAUAAUGAAAGCUAAUUUCAUUUGUGUAUUAUUUGUUAUUAUUUAUUAUUGUUUUUGAUUACUCCAAUUAUUUUCCUGACUAUCUGAUUAGUUGUUUGGUCAAUAUCAGAAAUUUGUGAAAAAUAUCUAUUUCCUAGGGCCUUAAGUGACCAGGAACACAUUUGGAAGGCUAGAAUCAGAGAAUUUUGAGUAAUAUGAGAGAGAUAUUAAGUUUGUUAAACUCAGUGUAAUUGAGGCAAUCAAUUGCCUCAAAAAUGUUAAGUUUUUAAUCACAUGUUUUUUAAGUAAACAAACUCAACAUAUGUGACUAAUGUGUACUUAAAACAAUGAUAGCACAAACUAAUAAACAUUGAGUUUGCUUAACAUAAAAUGGUGUGGUUGUGUACUUAUUUUUUAAAGUUCUGUGAAGUUAUUCCAGUGGUUUUGAAAACUGGAAACUAAGUCAUAUUAACUGAAAAUAAUUGAGUUGCCUUAACAGAAAACUUUAAGUCAUAUUAACCACAAAUUUUUGAGUUGAGCUAAAUGAGCACUUUAACGGUUAUCAAAAGGUACAAGUAGCAAGUCAUCCAACCUUUUAAGUUCUGGAAAAUGUUGACUUUUGAGUUCAUCAACUCCAAAAAAUUGAGGCAAUCGAUUGCCUCAGACAUUUUAAGUUUGGAGUCACAUGUUUUUAAGUAAACAAACUCAA